GUCGGGUUGUUGUCUCUUUGACACAUUCCCCAUUUCCAUUCUCAAUUUUAUUAAUAGAACAAAAACUAUCAGCUGAUAAAGCAAAGCCAGGGAAAUACUAGUAAUCCAGCAUAAGCAUGAUAAGAAACACAUUUAUAUGAAUACGUACAUGUAAAGAUCGGUUGAUUGCUGGUUAUAAAAUGUCCAGUGACAAGUAUUUCAUGCAAAGGAGUAGGUCCGGUAAGGACCGAUUUUGGCCUCAAAUUUCAGGUUCAUCUGACGAAAGAUUUUGACCACUUUUUAAACACUUAAGUGUCUAUUUUAUUUGAAUUAAUUAGUUUAUGUGAAAGAUUUUAACAGAUUUAGUCAUUAAAAACGAUCCGAUUCAAGCUCAAAUAUGAAAAAUCUACCUAAUAUGCCGAAAAAUGUCACUUUUCAGAUGGUUUUUGGUAAAAAUGAAAGUAGCCGCAUCCGUGUUCAUCCUCAACCUUUAUAUAUGUUAUGUAUUAUCAUAAAAUACAACUUACAUUUCAAUAUUAUGGAUGAACACGAAUGCGGCCACUUUCGUUCUACACGAAAACCGUCUAAAAUUUAACUAAAAUACUAGAAUUAUGAGGAUUUCAGUAAUUUAGC
Molecule: long non-coding RNA, 612 nt
Filed under: Mytilus galloprovincialis (Mediterranean mussel)
Lineage: Eukaryota; Metazoa; Mollusca; Bivalvia; Mytilida; Mytilidae
Source: RNAcentral